This 497-nucleotide ribosomal RNA is filed under the name uncultured bacterium. Its description in RNAcentral is "partial 16S ribosomal RNA". It matches the Rfam family "Bacterial small subunit ribosomal RNA", at positions 28 to 507 of the family's 1533-position model. The record is from RNAcentral.
GAUGAACGCUGGCGGCGUGCCUAAUACAUGCAAGUCGAGCGAACAGACGAGGAGCUUGCUCCUCUGACGUUAGCGGCGGACGGGUGAGUAACACGUGGAUAACCUACCUAUAAGACUGGGAUAACUUCGGGAAACCGGAGCUAAUACCGGAUAAUAUAUUGAACCGCAUGGUUCAAUAGUGAAAGAGGGUGUUGCUGUCACUUAUAGAUGGAUCCGCGCCGCAUUAGCUAGUUGGUAAGGUAACGGCUUACCAAGGCAACGAUGCGUAGCCGACCUGAGAGGGUGAUCGGCCACACUGGAACUGAGACACGGUCCAGACUCCUACGGGAGGCAGCAGUAGGGAAUCUUCCGCAAUGGGCGAAAGCCUGACGGAGCAACGCCGCGUGAGUGAUGAAGGUCUUCGGAUCGUAAAACUCUGUUAUUAGGGAAGAACAAAUGUGUAAGUAACUAUGCACGUCUUGACGGUACCUAAUCAGAAAGCCACGGCUAACUACGUG